This 433-nucleotide ribosomal RNA is filed under the name uncultured bacterium. RNAcentral's name for it is "partial 16S ribosomal RNA". It matches the Rfam family "Bacterial small subunit ribosomal RNA", at positions 29 to 507 of the family's 1533-position model. The record is from RNAcentral.
AACGAACGCUGGCGGCAUGCCUAACACAUGCAAGUCGAACGAGACCUUCGGGUAUAGUGGCGCACGGGUGCGUAACGCGUGGGAACCUGCCCUUAGGUUCGGAAUAACUCCCCGAAAGGGGUGCUAAUACCGGAUAAUGUCUUCGGACCAAAGAUUUAUCGCCUUUGGAUGGGCCCGCGUUGGAUUAGCUAGUUGGUAGGGUAAAAGCCUACCAAGGCGACGAUUCAUAGCUGGUAUGAGAGGAUGAUCAGCCACACUGGGACUGAGACACGGCCCAGACUCCUACGGGAGGCAGCAGUGGGGAAUAUUGGACAAUGGGCGAAAGCCUGAUCCAGCAAUGCCGCGUGAGUGAUGAAGGCCUUAGGGUUGUAAAGCUCUUUUACCCGGGAUGAUAAUGACAGUACCGGGAGAAUAAGCUCCGGCUAACUCCGUG